UACGUAGGGUGCAAGCGUUAAUCGGAAUUACUGGGCGUAAAGCGUGCGCAGGCGGUUUUGUAAGUCUGUCGUGAAAUCCCCGGGCUUAACCUGGGAAUGGCGAUGGAGACUGCAAGGCUGGAAUCUGGCAGAGGGGGGUAGAAUUCCACGUGUAGCAGUGAAAUGCGUAGAGAUGCGGAGGAACACCGAUGGCGAAGGCAGCCCCCUGGGCUAGCACUGACGCUCAGGCACGAAAGCGUGGGGAGCAAACAGG
RNAcentral lists this ribosomal RNA (253 nucleotides) under uncultured bacterium. RNAcentral's name for it is "partial 16S ribosomal RNA". It matches the Rfam family "Bacterial small subunit ribosomal RNA", at positions 524 to 776 of the family's 1533-position model. The record is from RNAcentral.